RNAcentral lists this ribosomal RNA (468 nucleotides) under uncultured bacterium. RNAcentral describes it as "partial 16S ribosomal RNA". It matches the Rfam family "Bacterial small subunit ribosomal RNA", at positions 28 to 507 of the family's 1533-position model. The record is from RNAcentral.
GACGAGCGCUGGCGGCGUGCCUAACACAUGCAAGUCGAACGGAAAGGUCCUGCGUUUGCGCGGCGCACGUGUGGCGAGCGCGUGAGUAUCACGCGAGUAACAUGCACCUGUCUUAGGGGUAACAUUAGGAAACACGGGCUCUUAUCGCGUAGGAGAUCUUGCUCCACAGUGGGGGUUGGUAAGUUUCGGCGGUUGUGGAUGGACUCGCGGCUUAUCGGCUUGAUUGUCGGGUAGUGGCUUACCAAGGCUUCGACGGCUAGCCUGCCUGAGAGGGUGACCGGCGACAUGGGGACUGAGAGACGGCCCAGACUCCUACGGUAGGCAGCAGUGGGGAACAUUGCACAAUGGGCGGAAGCCAGAUGCAGCAGCGCCGCGUGCGGGAUGACGGCCUUCGGGUUGUAAACCGCUUUCGCCUGUGACGAAGCGUGAUUGACGGUAAUGGGUAAAGAAGCACCGGCUAACUACGUG